UCUUGGUGUCCAUUUCCCACUCCUUACCAUGCUGGCUUUCUGGCUGAGACUGGGACUGAAAUGCCCCUACCUUUCAGACCCUAUGAGCCCCUUGGAGAAAGUGAGGAGGGCGAAGCCCCACCUGAAGACCAGCAAAGCCAAGGUGGAGUCUGAGGACCAACAGGAGAGUGACUUCCUCAGUUGCAUGUCCAGGCGUUCCGGGCUACCUCGAUGGGUCCUGUUCUGUUGCCUCUUCCUCUCCGUCCUGAUCAUCCUGUGGCUGAGUUGCUGCACUCUGGUCACCACACCAGGCCAGCACCUCAAGUUCCAGGUGAGUAACAGUCAUGGUGGCUAGGGCUCAGGGUGGGUGGAAGGCCCAGGGCUGCAUGCUGGGAAGUCCCGCUCGCCCUGGGAAGCCAGACAAGGCCCUUUUGCCUCAAUCCCUACAGCCUCUAACUGCAGAACAGCACAAAGGCCUCCUGGUGGAGUCAAACUGGCCCUUGUACCCACCCCUGCCACCUGCUUAUGAGGACAGCCCCCCGCCUUACAAGUUGAAGCUUGAUUUGACCACGCUGUAAUCUCGCCUUUUUCCAAGUACAAGGGCCUCGCCACAUUCACUU
Molecule: long non-coding RNA, 599 nt
Filed under: Rattus norvegicus (Norway rat)
Lineage: Eukaryota; Metazoa; Chordata; Mammalia; Rodentia; Muridae
Description: long non-coding RNA NONRATT011416
Source: RNAcentral